Molecule: unclassified non-coding RNA, 337 nt
Filed under: uncultured fungus
Lineage: Eukaryota; Fungi
Description: partial contains small subunit ribosomal RNA, internal transcribed spacer 1, and 5.8S ribosomal RNA
Rfam family: Eukaryotic small subunit ribosomal RNA (bases 1-73)
Source: RNAcentral
ACAAACUUGGUCAUUUAGAGGAAGUAAAAGUCGUAACAAGGUCAUCGUAGGUGAACCUGCGGUGGGAUCAGUAAAUGGAUUGAUUUCUUGGCGGGGCUGUCUGGUGCUUUCACUCUUCGGAGGGGAAAACCAGAUGGCCGCCAUCUCGUGUGGAUCUUGGGUUGGCAAACUAGGCACCGGUGUUUCUGGUUCCGGGGUGCCCUUGGGCGCUCCGGGGCCGCGGUGCCGCACUAUACGGACUGAAAACACUGCAAAGCAUUGAUUGACCUCGUACAAACAAACCGUAACAACUAUCCAUGGCGGAUCCCUUGGCUCUUGCAUCGAUGAAGAACGCAGC